UGGACCCCACCGCCCCCCCUCCCCAACACACACAUCUCUGAGAAAGAAGAAGUGGCAGCCAGAACAGGGAACCAGAAGCCAAAACAAGGGAUGAAGGCAAGGGUCGCUUACGACCACGCCCCCACCCACACUUGACCCAGUGGGUCGAGGGGGAUUUUGAUACAGUGGCAGCUGGGAAGCCAAGAACAGAAAGCCUUUAAUCCGUGCAACCUAAUGCCAAGAUUCCGCCAGAGAGAGCCCAUUUCCUGCGCUGUCUGCACAUUCCUCCCAUUCUUCCCGAGCACCUUCUCCCAGUGACCCCUCUCCAUGCAGCCUCUGUUCUCCCCCCACGGCUAACUGCUCCUUUCUUCUAGAAAACAAGUCCUGUGGCCAGAAGGAUUCCAUAUACUUCUGCUUUCUCUUCGAGAUCCCCAGGUCCUUAGGAGCUUUUCCUUUCUCCUCCGCAUCGUAGCCACUUUUAAGGUCCCUGCCCAGACCACGACUCUCGGAACCGUUGGCCAUACCAGCAGAGUGAGGCCCCAACACUGUGUUUAUACUUCGUGACCCCAGACGUGGACUGUAGGUGACUGCACAAGAGAUGGACAGCUGUCCAGGUGAGCCAAUCUGAUUCUCCCUCCCCAGAAUUUGAAACUGGGUCAGGUUGGGUCAAAGUUGGUCUCUGUUAGACCUGAGGUAGUCAUACUGGCUCAGAGGACAGAGAGGUCAGAGCACCAGGCCCUCCCCCGGCUCCCCUCUGCACCCUUACCGUGUUCCCCUACAAUAUAUUGCCCCCAUUAAAAGUUUUUUUUAAUGGUUAUUUGUUUUUGAGAAAGAGAGCACAAGCAGAGGAGGGGCAGAGGAAGAAGGGGACAGGGGACCCGAAGCAGGCUCUGUGCUGACAGCAGACAGCCCAACAUGGGGCUCAAACUCAUGUAUCACAAGGUC
This 924-nucleotide long non-coding RNA is filed under the name Suricata suricatta (meerkat). RNAcentral's name for it is "lncRNA (ENSSSUG00005005262.1)". Lineage: Eukaryota; Metazoa; Chordata; Mammalia; Carnivora; Herpestidae. The record is from RNAcentral.